Molecule: ribosomal RNA, 649 nt
Filed under: Anomalomyces panici
Lineage: Eukaryota; Fungi; Basidiomycota; Ustilaginomycetes; Ustilaginales
Description: LSU rRNA
Rfam family: Eukaryotic large subunit ribosomal RNA
Source: RNAcentral
UGCAUAUCAAUAAGCGGAGGAAAAGAAACUAACAAGGAUUCCCCUAGUAACGGCGAGUGAAGAGGGAAGAGCCCAAGAUUGAAAGCUGGCGUCUUCGGCGUCCGCAUUGUAAUCUCAAGAAGUGUUUUCCGCUUCGGACCAUGCCUAAGUCCCUUGGAAAAGGGCAUCAUAGAGGGUGAUAAUCCCGUACAUGGCAUGGAGCGCCCGUAGCUUUGUGAUACGCUUUCUAAGAGUCGAGUUGUUUGGGAAUGCAGCUCAAAAUGGGUGGUAAAUGCCAUCUAAGGCUAAAUAUUGGGGAGAGACCGAUAGCGAACAAGUACAGUGAUGGAAAGAUGAAAAGAACUUUGAAAAGAGAGUUAAACAGUACGUGAAAUUGCCAAAAGGGAAGGGUAGGAGGUCAGAGAUGCGGCUUGGGAUUCAGCCUUGCUUUUGCAUGGUGUUUUUCCCCUGUUGCAGGCCAACGUCGGUUUUGGGCACUGGAGAAGGGUGAGAGGAACGUGGCAUCCCUCGGGAUGUGUUAUAGCCUCUCACUGGAUACAGCGACCGAGACCGAGGACAGCAGCGUACUCGCAAGAGCGGGCCUUCGGGCACCUUUACGCUUAGGGCGUUGGCAUAAUGGCCCUCUACCACCCGUCUUGAAACACGGACC